RNAcentral lists this long non-coding RNA (891 nucleotides) under Olea europaea (common olive). RNAcentral's name for it is "long non-coding RNA (OEUR_LNC014882)". Lineage: Eukaryota; Viridiplantae; Streptophyta; Magnoliopsida; Lamiales; Oleaceae. The record is from RNAcentral.
GGAAAUAAACUAUUCUAUGAGUAAUGAACGGUUGGUGAAAAUACGAUGAAGACAAACACUAGAGCGUCCGGGAUUCACUUCGGAUAAAUGAGUAGAAAUUGCCCUUGAUCUUUAAUUUUACUCAUAUGAAAAUCAACUAAGGAGUGAUCUCAUAUGGAAGAUAAAACAUCGAUCACAAAUAUAUUGAAAGAUAGAUCUUGAUCAUUGUUUGAGAGAAUAUGUCAAAAUAAGUUGUUGGAAUGUAGAGAUUAUCUAAGCAUUUAUUGUGCCAAAAUUGUCAACAAUAAAUCAAAGUCUUUAACAAACCAAAACCAUUUGUAGAACACAAACUUCAACCAAGUAAGAACAUGAACAUUGAAGAACAAAAUGAAAGAUCAAAGACAAUACUAAACAUUCAUCAAAGUUUCACCCUUAGCUCUAGCUAAAUGUUUAGAAAUACAUAGUGAAAUGUUACAAAGAAAAUGAAGGAAACUAGAAUAUGAUGGAGAGAAUUUGAUUCUUCAAAAUCGUGGCCAAGGUCCCCUUUUAUAGGCAAAGGAACAUCCAAAAUUCAAGUAGGCAAUGCAACUUGUUUCUGUCCAGCUUCAAGACAGCUGGAACAUGCAACUUGAUGCCAAUUUUCAGAUACAUUUUCCAGCGAAUUUUGACAUAUGAUCAACAGAAGAAUUAUUACCACUUGAGUUAGCUUUCCAUUGGUUCAAAUAUCAGGUUCAUUGGAUCUAUAUAACUCCAGAUAUGACAAAAACAAUAAGUGCUGCUUCACAGGUAAAGCUGUAUCCGGCAGGUAACAAGCUGGACUUUUCACGGUAAUUUUGGCUACCUUGUGAUACGAAUUUGACUUCUUCCAAAACAUGAAAGUUGUAGAAACGUGACUUAUAUUUCCAACCCAAC